This is a non-coding RNA of Ictidomys tridecemlineatus (thirteen-lined ground squirrel), 549 nucleotides long. Lineage: Eukaryota; Metazoa; Chordata; Mammalia; Rodentia; Sciuridae. The record is from RefSeq and is a predicted model, not a curated record.
GGCAAAACUCAUUCAAAUUCUGAGGCAAUUCUCCCUUGAAGUGGGCCAUUCUUGACUCUACUUUAUGUGACUCUGGAAUUAAAGCAGAAUUUGUUGUCAUGAGGAUUGGAUGACUGAUGCUUUUUCACAAAAAGGAGCACAGAAUGGAAGCCGGCCAUGCCAUUGUUGCAAAUAUCAUGCCUAACCAAAAAUAACAGCUGCUGUCUUGUGAUGAGCAUUUACUCUGUGACAGUCACCAUUCUAAGCUCUUCUCACAUGUGGCCUCAUUUCACAGUUGUAAUAAUCCUGGAGGCACUGUUUAAACCCACUUUAUAGGAAACAGGAUGAGUUGCCAGCGCCACUUGCAAGAGGUCAUGGCUCCGGUGAUGAGGCAGGCAUGGAGCACUGGAGCAGGAGCCAGCAGACUGGGCUUUCAUUCUUCCUCCAACACUCACUGUGUUUUCCUGGGCAAGUCACUGAACCUCUAACGCCUCAGAUGCCUUGUCCAAAACAGGUAUAAGAACUACUCUGCUUCCUAAAGUGAUUAUCAUGGGGUCAAAAAAAAAAAAA